UACGGAGGGUGCGAGCGUUAAUCGGAAUUACUGGGCGUAAAGGGCGCGUAGGCGGUUCGAUAAGUCAGAUGUGAAAGCCCAGGGCUUAACCUUGGAAUUGCAUUUGAUACUGUCGAGCUUGAGUGUGGUAGAGGAAAGCGGAAUUCCGGGUGUAGCGGUGAAAUGCGUAGAUAUCCGGAGGAACAUCAGUGGCGAAGGCG
RNAcentral lists this ribosomal RNA (200 nucleotides) under uncultured bacterium. RNAcentral's name for it is "partial 16S ribosomal RNA". It matches the Rfam family "Bacterial small subunit ribosomal RNA", at positions 524 to 723 of the family's 1533-position model. RNAcentral also lists the same sequence under 1 other name. The record is from RNAcentral.